Molecule: unclassified non-coding RNA, 377 nt
Filed under: uncultured Oligoflexaceae bacterium
Lineage: Bacteria; Pseudomonadati; Bdellovibrionota; Oligoflexia; Oligoflexales; Oligoflexaceae
Description: contains 16S-23S intergenic spacer region
Source: RNAcentral
UCCGGUUUAACACCGGCGGUCCCCCUAGAGUCCCCAACUUAAUGCUGGUAACUAAGGGCAGGGGUUGCGCUCGUUGCCGGACUUAACCGAACAUUUCACAACACGAGCUGACGACAGCCAUGCAGCACCUGUCUACGAGUGCCCGAAGGCAAAGGUACAUCUCUGUACCGGUCUCGCGAUGUCAAGGCCAGGUAAGGUUCUGCGCGUUGCUUCGAAUUAAACCACAUACUCCACCGCUUGUGCGGGCCCCCGUCAAUUCCUUUGAGUUUUAGUCUUGCGACCGUACUUCCCAGGCGGGAUACUUAAUGUGUGAACUUUGGCACUCAGAGGGUUAACUCUCCGAACGCCUAGUAUCCAUCGUUUACGGUGCGGACUAC